Molecule: long non-coding RNA, 3837 nt
Organism: Acinonyx jubatus (cheetah)
Lineage: Eukaryota; Metazoa; Chordata; Mammalia; Carnivora; Felidae
Exons: 4
Source: RefSeq, a predicted model, not a curated record
ACGGGCUAGGGUUUGGGCAUAGGGAAACACCGAGGUUGGGAUUUAGGGGAGAGCUGGGGUAUGGUUCUGAUGUGGCGAUAGGGUUGGGGUUAGCGAAACGUCAGAUCUGGAGAUGGGUUCAGGGGUGAGGUGGGGCAGACACAAGUUAGCUUGAGGCGCAGUUUGGGGUCAGGUCAGGUUGGGUCAGGGUCAGGGUCAGGCUGACAUGUUAAGGUUAGGUGCGCCUGGAACCUGUUGAGGGUCUUGGGGAUCUGGUUGUCUGCCCUGUGGCGUCCCUGCCCUCUUCGGUGGGGUGCUCUCAGCCAUGGCCUUGGCUGGAGACCAGGUGCUAUGGCCCUCAUGGUGGCAGGACCCCCUCUGGCCUCUGAGCCCAGGCUGGGGCCAGAAGAAGCAGCGUUCUGCAGCUGAGCCCUGAACUCAGGAGCCUGGGUAUCAGCUGAAGCAGGGGCCCCAUUUCACACGGAACAGAGCCUGGGUUUGGGGCUACACCCUGCCAGUGAAUGCAGUCCCCUGCCCCACCGGCUGGCUACCUGGCCUCCUGCCCGGGCCUCCUCUCUUACCCAGGAUGCUUGUCUUGGGACCUUGGCUUCUUUGAGCCACUGCUGGCUGAGGGUGGGGGGCUUCAUAGGGUGAGUUCUAGCCCCUCUCCUGACAACCCUCACUCCCAGGCCCUGGUGGGGAAACCGGGCCUGCUCUCCACUUGGCCUUCACCACAGUGGUACCCGGAAGGCCUGGCUGUCUCACCUUGUCAUGAUCCCCCACACAUUUCAGGGCCCAACUUGGGGGCCCAGGAUUAAGGCUGUGUCCGCAGCAUAUGCCCCCAACCCAGACUGACCAGGGCCCACGGCCCUCAUAGACGGCCUCUCCCCUGUCCUCCAUUACCCUCCCUGAGUCUAGCCUCCUAAAGAGCUAGCCUCCUGAACCUCAGGCCUGGGCUUCCACAGGGGCUGUACUCUGCCACCUGGAAUGAGUUGGAGUCUGGGGGCCCUAGCGGUGGGCUGGUGGUCCUGGUCUGGGCCAGAGACCUCCGGGCUUCCCUGGGCGUGGCUCCUGUCUCAGCCGGCUGCACCCAGGCGUGGCCCUGGUCGGCAGGGUGAGGGGCUGCCUCUGCUGCACCGCAGAUCCCUUGGGGUGGGUCUGGCUCAGGAGGCAAGGGGUACCUGGCUGGGUGUGUCUGAGUGUGACUCAGGCUGGAUGCCGGGGACUUGAGCUGGUGGCUUUGUUCUCCCACUAGCCGGGUAGGGUGCAUGCUGCAGCCCUGAAUCACCAGGGUGUGGCCCAGCCGGCCUGGCGGCACCCCAGACACACACACACACACACACACACACACACACACACACACACAGAGCCACAUGCACAGCCAGCGCUGAGGCCAGGACUCGGCAACCUGGGGCACAGUGGUGCUGUGAGCACUUUCCAAGGUGUUCCUCGGUGACCAACGGCUCUGUGACCUCCAAUUAGAGGCUUAGAGGAGCUGGAACAGGGUUUGGGCCCCACAGACACAACCAGACCCUGAGGGGGUGCUGACCCUUCCCCCAGCUGCCCGAUAAAGGCCACUAUGCACUCCUCUCCAAAGUGUCAACCCACGGGACCCCGAAAACAACUCUGAGAGGAGGAAACUAUCAUUCCCACUACAGAUGAAGGACCUGGGGCUUAGAGAUGCUAGUGAGUGGCCAGCCUGCCUUCAACCUCCUUGCCACGUGUGCGGGUACUGCGGUAGCGGCCUGCCCCCCCCCCCCCCCCCCGGCCUCUGCUUCAGGGUAGCUCAUCACUGGGACCCCCUCAACAGCCCCUCUCACUCAGAGUCAGGCAGGCGUCCCAUAGGGUUAGGGCGAGGAAGCAGCCCCUCCCAGCCACUGGGCCUGGGUCCCAGGCCCUUCUAGACCUCUGAGGAUGGAGACAGACACGGACCUGCUGGAGUCCUGGACCGUCCCCAUCUGUCUUCUCUGGGGGAAGGGGUAGGAGGGCCAGCUCCCUCUUUGGGGAGCCAGGCUUCACUGUUCCCGGGGAAGGACAGGAAGUGUGGCUUCUACAUGACCGCCAGCCUUCCCCACAAGUGUGUGUAUGUUCCUGUGUGAAUGUGAGGGGGCAGGAGAGCCCACGGGUCCUGUUUCCAGGCCAGGCUUGGGGCUCAGAGACUACCUGUAGGUUAGUGGAUGUUCUCCAACAGACCAGGGGCUGCCUGGGUAGCUGGUUACCGGGGUGCCAUCGGGUAGGUGAACAGGGUGCAGUUCAAAGAGCUGGCCUCACCCCCCCUCCACCCACAACCCCACCUGGUUCUUUGUCAGAAGCUGUUCGAGGGAGAGGAGAAAGCACCUUAUAAGGUAACAAAUGCUGUCCGCCAGGUGAGAGGAGAGGUACCUCCCUGCCUCCAGGCCUCCCCGCCCUACCCAGGCAGGACAGCAGCUUAGGCUGGGGUGGUAUCCCAGUUCUGGCCCUGUGCCUUACAGUGUCCCCCUGCCCCCACCUCCUUACCUCAGGGGGCAUCUGCUACCAGCCCAGACUCAGGUGAGGGCCUCUGGCAUGGGGAGGCCUAGCCCGCCCCCCGGGGAGGCAGAAGAGGCAGCUAGAGCUCAGAGAGGCUGCUGUAUGACCUUUGGCUAAGUGACUGCUCCUUUCUGAGCCUGUUUUCUCUUCUGUGCAGUGAGGGGGUGAGCUAGGGGUGUGAAGUCACAUGAGGAUCUUAAGCCCUACGGAGGGUCCCUUCACUUAUAGACGCUUGAUAAGACCGGGCCAUGCCAGCCACUUUCCCCAAGCCCAGGAUCCUCCUUUCCUGCACUGUUUGGCUCCCUAGGCAAAGGCCUACCCUCUCUGUUCCAAGGAAGCUGGGGUUCCCGGGGCAGUUCUGGUCAGUUCUCCAGGUGACGUGGCCUACCUCAGUUUGCCUGUUUGCCAGCAAUGGGGUCCAGUGGAGACAGCCCAAAGAAGCAGGCGCUCUCUCUCUCUCCACAGACCUGCCUUCCUGCCUGUAAUACUUGUCUUAGAAGCUGACCUUCCCCAGAAGCCCCCACCCCGCCCCAGCCCUCGGGUGCAAUGUGUUUUGUAUCCUUCCAUGGCGAUGGUCAUCCUGUGUGUGCCCCGUCUUGGAAUUUCGCCCUGGAGAUAAAAGCACUGACUCGAAAUUUCUACAUUUUACAAGCAUUGUUGAAUUUGACCCUGGUAACAGCCCUCUGCCAGGACACGUGGUGGUGAGUUUAUCAGAGAGGUUUGACCUCAUGGUAGGGACAGGGCCGGGCCUGGAGUCAGUCCAUGCUCUAGCCAUGGACCCCCUGUGGGCACAGUGAAGGAAGGGAGCGUGUCUUCCUGUUGGUCCUAGAAAUUUCAGAGCUGGGAGUGUCCUUGGAUGCUAUCUAAUCCAACCCCUCACCGUGGACCUUGGGCAACUGAGCCCCAGAGCUGGGACUAGAGCCCAGGGCUUCUGACCCCCAGUCCUGCCUGUUUCCUGGGGGAGCCUUCUCCCUCUUUGUCCGUCUAGCCCUGGGCCUUGCGGGGCGCUAGGUUCUGCUUGGAGCUUCCCAGCACAGUGAUUGCACAGAGCUUUUUCAGGGAGCUGACGAAGCAACUUCUGUGUGAAGGAAACCAGGCCAAACACGCCACGUCUCAGCCGCUCUGAUUUCUGCCUCUGUAGGAGGGUGAGGUGCUCAUGGAAUCAAGACAGAGAAAAAACUCCAGAGAGGGGACAUGACUUGCCCAAGGUCCCGCAGCGAGCACACGGCCAAUCACGACAGAGGGGCCUUCGGCACAACCGGAGACCCUGAGCCCGAUCCCGGCCGGACGCCAGAAGCCCCUUGAGGACAAGGACUCCAUUUUACCCUUUAUGCCCUCCUCCCUCCCUAC